CCUACCGAGGGGCGCUGCAGCAGGGUUUCCCUGUCAGGCUCGGGGGAGCGUAGCCGCAGGCCUAGCCUGCACACGCAUCAACGGCGCCCAUUCGCA
Regulatory RNA element from Pseudomonas sp. HPB0071, 96 nucleotides. It matches the Rfam family "SAH (S-adenosyl-L-homocysteine) riboswitch aptamer". NCBI's taxonomy places the organism in Bacteria, Pseudomonadati, Pseudomonadota, Gammaproteobacteria, Pseudomonadales, Pseudomonadaceae. The record is from Rfam.